UCUCAAAUCAUGUCACUUUGAAAAUCUGUUGCUGCAGGUGGGUUUUAAGGAGUAAGUAAUAAUUAACUCUGCUUCUAAUGAUGUCUCUGGGACUACAGGUAUGUGUGAUAUUCUGUUUGUUUUGUGUUGCAUUAUCAGGGUUCAAAUUAAGGAGAGAAAGAACCUAAUAGGAAACAACAGUACAAAGAGAAUACAACUAGACGCAAAUAUAGUCAGGCAGUCAGUCUAAUAAGUGAGUCAAAGUCACAGGGAGAGCUGGAAAAAUAGGUAUGAUUAGGUAGGAUUUUGCUACCUGACACUUUGAAGUGGCAUCACUUGCAAAUGUUUGGAUGCUGAAUCGAUAUGAAAAAUUUAUCAGGAAUCCAGCUGCCUUUCCUUUCUGAGCCCUGGGGGCAGGACAGAUCUGCACGGUGACCAUGUAAUGGGGCCUGAAUUCCAGUCCCAGUGCCCCAUGAGGCAAACACUCGCUUGGAAAUAAAGAUGGGGAAUUUUAUUGUUUCUGAUUCAAAUUAGGAAGAUUUUCUCAGGGCCCCAUAGAAAGUCAGUGGGCAGAGCAGAAAUUAGACCUGGCUGUUCAGCCUUCCCUUUGGACAGCAGGUUCUCAAUUACCCAGUGUGGUUUCCAGCUCCCUGUUUCAGGAUCAGAGGAGAUUCCUGGUAGGAUUUAUUUCUCAUUUUUUUGUGCCUGUGUUUGUCCCCACCUUCUGCGUGUUCCCGCAGGAUGGAGCUUUUCGCCUUCCCAGGGGCGUUACAAGCUGCCAGCUGGACUUCUCUCUGCAUUGUCUUCUCUCCCAGUCAUAACUUCCAGCCUGUGCAGGGCUCCCAGCCCUGUGUCAUAUGAAAGAUGCUGAAAGUAGGAGCUAAUCCCUUCCUUACCCCUGUUGAUGGUACCUGUUGACUCCUGAUCAGACAUUUCAGCAUGUUUAAGCUGUUUCAAGAGUUACCCACCUGAUGAGAAGACUUAACCUGCUCCUGCUCAUUGUAUUAUCACAGUUGCAACUCAAAUGAGAAGCACUGAAAUCUGCUGGCAAGCCCUCGCGGGACGACCAGCAGGAACCUGCCCUGCUGAGAAGAGUGGAAUUCCUCUCAGCUGAAGGCGGCUGUCUGCCUGUCUUGAGGCUGACUGGCUGGUGAGGUAUGGAAAUGAUGCUUAAGUUAAGUUAAUCUUGCAGACCAAGGGGCUCGAAGCAGCUUUCCCAAGUAAGUCCCUGUCGGAAACUUCCUGCGCUGUUUAUAUCUUCUCCCAUUGCUCACUGCUGCGACUUGGAGUAUGCAGCCAGCAGCUCUGAUGUAACUUUACACAAAUAGUGCCCUUAUGAAGGGUCCUGGCUUGACAGAUUGAAUCCCUUCUUAACAAGGCGCUGCUCUGUAGAGAAUAAUGUUGUAAAUCCCCCUCUCCCUCCACAGUCACACACACGUGCUCCAACCUACUGAGGCCAUCUUUGUCUGCUGUCCUGA
RNAcentral lists this long non-coding RNA (1457 nucleotides) under Struthio camelus australis. Its description in RNAcentral is "lncRNA (ENSSCUG00000013215.1)". The record is from RNAcentral. Lineage: Eukaryota; Metazoa; Chordata; Aves; Struthioniformes; Struthionidae.